UUCAGUUAGCUUUUUUUCUGGUCUUCCUAACUAUCGCUUAGUUUCUUUUUCUUCUAUUCUCUUAAAACUGUGAGAACUGCAAGAUUAUUUGGAGUUGUGUGUUUUUCUGUAAAGCUUGGAAAACGUAAAAUAAAGGUACUCCAUCACUUAAUUUAUGUUAAAUAUACUUGGUUAUUCUGAUUCUAACCAAAACUUUCUAUAAAUUUUCAUACAAUUGUUGUUUUAGUUUUUUAAAAUCAAAAUUUUUAUAGAGCAAAAUUUAUAUGAUGAUUCAAUGGAUUGCAAGUCAUAACUAGAUCAUGAUCUUUAUUUCACUUAUGGCAGAUAGAUGGCAUAUAAUAAGAAUUGAAGUCUUCAAGAAGGAAAACAAAUAGAAGCAAAAAGCAUGGAAAAUAAAGAAGAUGAAGAAACUAAGAUCAAAACCCAAUUGUGAUUUUUCUGUUGUAAACGAAGAUUUAUUGCUCAUUUGAUGUUUUUUAUAAAAACAUAAUAAGAUUUAAAUAGAUAUUGCAAUGAGUAAUUUUAG
Molecule: long non-coding RNA, 526 nt
Filed under: Capsella grandiflora
Lineage: Eukaryota; Viridiplantae; Streptophyta; Magnoliopsida; Brassicales; Brassicaceae
Description: long non-coding RNA (CGRA_LNC001497)
Source: RNAcentral